This 376-nucleotide ribosomal RNA is filed under the name uncultured bacterium. RNAcentral describes it as "bacterial SSU rRNA". It matches the Rfam family "Bacterial small subunit ribosomal RNA", at positions 524 to 898 of the family's 1533-position model. The record is from RNAcentral.
UACGGGGGGUGCAAGCGUUAUUCGGAAUUAUUGGGCGUAAAGGGCGCGUAGGCGGUUUUAUAAGUCAGAUGUGAAAUACCUGGGCUUAACCGAGGAAGUGCAUUUGAAACUAUAAGACUUGAGUAUGGGAGAGGGUAGUGGAAUUCCUGGUGUAGAGGUGAAAUUCGUAGAUAUCAGGAGGAACACCUGUGGCGAAAGCGGCUACCUGGACCAAUACUGACGCUGAGGCGCGAAGGCGUGGGGAGCAAACAGGAUUAGAUACCCUGGUAGUCCACGCAGUAAACGGUGAUCACUAGGUGUAGCGGGUAUUGACCCCUGCUGUGCCGCAGUUAACACAUUAAGUGAUCCGCCUGGGGAGUACGAUCGCAAGGUUAAA